This 57-nucleotide transfer RNA is filed under the name Odocoileus virginianus texanus. It matches the Rfam family "tRNA", at positions 8 to 63 of the family's 71-position model. Rfam says of the family: Transfer RNA (tRNA) molecules are approximately 80 nucleotides in length. Their secondary structure includes four short double-helical elements and three loops (D, anti-codon, and T loops). RNAcentral also lists the same sequence under 3 other names. The record is from Rfam by way of RNAcentral. Lineage: Eukaryota; Metazoa; Chordata; Mammalia; Artiodactyla; Cervidae.
UGGCUUAGACAGUAAAGAAUCUGCCUGCAAUGCAGGAGACCCAGGUUCAAUCCCUGG